AUUGAACGCUGGCGGCAUGCUUUACACAUGCAAGUCGAACGGCAGCGCGGGCUUCGGCCUGGCGGCGAGUGGCGAACGGGUGAGUAAUGCAUCGGAACGUGCCCAGUAGUGGGGGAUAGCCCGGCGAAAGCCGGAUUAAUACCGCAUACGACCUGAGGGUGAAAGCGGGGGACCGAAAGGCCUCGCGCUAUUGGAGCGGCCGAUGUCGGAUUAGCUAGUUGGUGGGGUAGAGGCUUACCAAGGCGACGAUCCGUAGCUGGUCUGAGAGGACGACCAGCCACACUGGGACUGAGACACGGCCCAGACUCCUGAGGGAGGCAGCAGUGGGGAAUUUUGGACAAUGGGGGCAACCCUGAUCCAGCCAUGCCGCGUGCGGGAAGAAGGCCUUCGGGUUGUAAACCGCUUUUGUUCGGGAAGAAAUCCUCUGGGCUAAUACCCCGGGGGGAUGACGGUACCGGAAGAAUAAGCACCGGCUAACUACGUG
This 484-nucleotide ribosomal RNA is filed under the name uncultured bacterium. RNAcentral describes it as "partial 16S ribosomal RNA". It matches the Rfam family "Bacterial small subunit ribosomal RNA", at positions 28 to 507 of the family's 1533-position model. The record is from RNAcentral.